GAAGGUGGACUGUGAGGUCUGCUGGAGGUAUCAGAAGUGCGAAUGCUGACAUAAGUAACGAUAAAGCGGGUGAAAAGCCCGCUCGCCGGAAGACCAAGGGUUCCUGUCCAACGUUAAUCGGGGCAGGGUGAGUCGACCCCUAAGGCGAGGCCGAAAGGCGUAGUCGAUGGGAAACAGGUUAAUAUUCCUGUACUCGGUGUUACUGCGAAGGGGGGACGGAGAAGGCUAUGUUGGCCGGGCGACGGUUGUCCCGGUUUAAGCAUGUAGGCGGAGGUUCCAGGUAAAUCCGGUACCUUUUCAACGCUGAGGUGUGAUGACGAGGCACUACGGUGCUGAAGCAACAAAUGCCCUGCUUCCAGGAAAAGCCUCUAAGCAUCAGGUAACAUCAAAUCGUACCCCAAACCGACACAGGUGGUCAGGUAGAGAAUACCAAGGCGCUUGAGAGAACUCGGGUGAAGGAACUAGGCAAAAUGGUGCCGUAACUUCGGGAGAAGGCACGCUGAUAUGUAGGUGAAGCCCCUGCGGGUGGAGCUGAAAUCAGUCGAAGAUACCAGCUGGCUGCAACUGUUUAUUAAAAACACAGCACUGUGCAAACACGAAAGUGGACGUAUACGGUGUGACGCCUGCCCGGUGCCGGAAGGUUAAUUGAUGGGGUUAGCGGCAACGCGAAGCUCUUGAUCGAAGCCCCGGUAAACGGCGGCCGUAACUAUAACGGUCCUAAGGUAGCGAAAUUCCUUGUCGGGUAAGUUCCGACCUGCACGAAUGGCGUAAUGAUGGCCAGGCUGUCUCCACCCGAGACUCAGUGAAAUUGAAAUCGCUGUGAAGAUGCAGUGUACCCGCGGCAAGACGGAAAGACCCCGUGAACCUUUACUAUAGCUUGACACUGAACACUGGUCCUUGAUGUGUAGGAUAGGUGGGAGGCUUUGAAGCGUGGACGCCAGUCUGCGUGGAGCCAACCUUGAAAUACCACCCUUUAAUGGCUGGUGUUCUAACGUGGACCCGUUACCCGGGUUGCGGACAGUGUCUGGUGGGUAGUUUGACUGGGGCGGUCUCCUCCUAAAGAGUAACGGAGGAGCACGAAGGUUAGCUAAUCCUGGUCGGACAUCAGGAGGUUAGUGCAAUGGCAUAAGCUAGCUUGACUGCGAGAGUGACGGCUCGAGCAGGUGCGAAAGCAGGUCAUAGUGAUCCGGUGGUUCUGUAUGGAAGGGCCAUCGCUCAACGGAUAAAAGGUACUCCGGGGAUAACAGGCUGAUACCGCCCAAGAGUUCAUAUCGACGGCGGUGUUUGGCACCUCGAUGUCGG
Molecule: ribosomal RNA, 1302 nt
Filed under: soil metagenome
Description: bacterial LSU rRNA
Rfam family: Bacterial large subunit ribosomal RNA
Source: RNAcentral